AUUGAACGCUGGCGGCAGGCCUAACACAUGCAAGUCGAGCGGUAGCACAGAGGAGCUUGCUCCUUGGGUGACGAGCGGCGGACGGGUGAGUAAUGUCUGGGAAACUGCCUGAUGGAGGGGGAUAACUACUGGAAACGGUAGCUAAUACCGCAUAACGUCGCAAGACCAAAGCGGGGGACUUUCGGGCCUCGCGCCAUCAGAUGUGCCCAGAUGGGAUUAGCUAGUAGGUGGGGUAAUGGCUCACCUAGGC
RNAcentral lists this ribosomal RNA (250 nucleotides) under uncultured bacterium. RNAcentral's name for it is "partial 16S ribosomal RNA". It matches the Rfam family "Bacterial small subunit ribosomal RNA", at positions 30 to 274 of the family's 1533-position model. The record is from RNAcentral.